AGUGAACGCUGGCGGUAGGCCUAACACAUGCAAGUCGAACGGCAGCACAGUAAGAGCUUGCUCUUACGGGUGGCGAGUGGCGGACGGGUGAGGAAUACAUCGGAAUCUACUUUUUCGUGGGGGAUAACGUAGGGAAACUUACGCUAAUACCGCAUACGACCUACGGGUGAAAGCAGGGGAUCUUCGGACCUUGCGCGAUUGAAUGAGCCGAUGUCGGAUUAGCUAGUUGGCGGGGUAAAGGCCCACCAAGGCGACGAUCCGUAGCUGGUCUGAGAGGAUGAUCAGCCACACAGGAACUGAGACACGGUCCAGACUCCUACGGGAGGCAGCAGUGGGGAAUGUUGGACAAUGGGCGCAAGCCUGAUCCAGCCAUACCGCGUGGGUGAAGAAGGCCUUCGGGUUGUAAAGCCCUUUUGUUGGGAAAGAAAAGCAGCAGGUUAAUACCCCGCUGUUCUGACGGUACCCAAAGAAUAAGCACCGGCUAACUUCGUG
RNAcentral lists this ribosomal RNA (492 nucleotides) under uncultured bacterium. RNAcentral describes it as "partial 16S ribosomal RNA". It matches the Rfam family "Bacterial small subunit ribosomal RNA", at positions 29 to 507 of the family's 1533-position model. The record is from RNAcentral.